Molecule: small nuclear RNA, 75 nt
Filed under: Larimichthys crocea (large yellow croaker)
Lineage: Eukaryota; Metazoa; Chordata; Actinopteri; Sciaenidae
Description: U2 spliceosomal RNA (ENSLCRG00005000874.1)
Rfam family: U2 spliceosomal RNA
About the family: U2 is a small nuclear RNA (snRNA) component of the spliceosome (involved in pre-mRNA splicing). Complementary binding between U2 snRNA (in an area lying towards the 5' end but 3' to hairpin I) and the branchpoint sequence (BPS) of the intron results the bulging out of an unpaired adenosine, on the BPS, which initiates a nucleophilic attack at the intronic 5' splice site, thus starting the first of two transesterification reactions that mediate splicing.
Source: RNAcentral
AUCGCUUCUCGGCCUUUUGGCUAAGAUCAAGUGUAGUAUCGUUUCGGUUAAGAUCAGGAGUUUCGUAUACCUAAA